GAAGUUUGAUUCCUGGCUCAGGAUGAACGCUAGCGGCAGGCCUAAUACAUGCAAGUCGAGGGGUAACAGGAAGUGCUUGCACUUCGCUGACGACCGGCGCACGGGUGAGUACCGCGUAUACAAUCUGCCUCAUACUAGGGAAUAGCCCGAAGAAAUUUGGAUUAAUACCCUAUAGUAUCUUUUUAAGGCAUCUUAUUAAGAUUAAAGGUUACGGUAUGAGAUGAGUAUGCGUUCUAUUAGCUAGUAGGUGUGGUAACGGCACACCUAGGCUACGAUAGAUAGGGGCCCUGAGAGGGGGAUCCCCCACACUGGUACUGAGACACGGACCAGACUCCUACGGGAGGCAGCAGUAAGGAAUAUUGGACAAUGGGCGAAAGCCUGAUCCAGCCAUGCCGCGUGCAGGAUGACUGCCCUAUGGGUUGUAAACUGCUUUUAUAUAGGAAGAAAAAUUUUCUCGUGAGAAAACUUGACGGUACUAUAAGAAUAAGGAUCGGCUAACUCCGUGCCAGCAGCCGCGGUAAUACGGAGGAUCCAAGCGUUAUCCGGAAUCAUUGGGUUUAAAGGGUCCGUAGGUGGACAAAAUAAGUCAGAGGUGAAAUCCUGCAGCUCAACUGUAGAACUGCCUUUGAUACUGUUUGUCUUGAGUUAUUAUGAAGUGGUUAGAAUGUGUAGUGUAGCGGUGAAAUGCAUAGAUAUUACACAGAAUACCGAUUGCGAAGGCAGAUCACUAAUAAUUAACUGACACUGAGGGACGAAAGCGUGGGUAGCGAACAGGAUUAGAUACCCUGGUAGUCCACGCCGUAAACGAUGGUCACUAGCUGUUUGGACUUCGGUCUGAGUGGCUAAGCGAAAGUGAUAAGUGACCCACCUGGGGAGUACGUUCGCAAGAAUGAAACUCAAAGGAAUUGACGGGGGCCCGCACAAGCGGUGGAGCAUGUGGUUUAAUUCGAUGAUACGCGAGGAACCUUACCAGGGCUUAAAUGUUAGGUGACAGAUCUAGAAAUAGAUUUUUCUUCGGACACUUAACAAGGUGCUGCAUGGUUGUCGUCAGCUCGUGCCGUGAGGUGUCAGGUUAAGUCCUAUAACGAGCGCAACCCCUGUUGUUAGUUGCCAGCGAGUAAUGUCGGGAACUCUAGCAAGACUGCCAGUGCAAACUGUGAGGAAGGUGGGGAUGACGUCAAAUCAUCACGGCCCUUACGUCCUGGGCUACACACGUGCUACAAUGGGAGAUACAGACGGUUGCUAAAGCGCGAGCUGGAGCCAAUCCGAAAAAGUCUCUCGUAGUCCGAAUUGCAGUCUGGAACUCGACUGCAUGAAGCCGGAAUCGCUAGUAAUCGCGGAUCAGCAUGCCGCGGUGAAUACGUUCUCGGGUCUUGCACUCACUGCCCGUC
This 1391-nucleotide ribosomal RNA is filed under the name uncultured bacterium. RNAcentral's name for it is "bacterial SSU rRNA". It matches the Rfam family "Bacterial small subunit ribosomal RNA". The record is from RNAcentral.